UACGGAGGAUGCAAGCGUUAUCCGGAUUUAUUGGGUUUAAAGGGUGCGUAGGCGGAUAUGUAAGUCAGCGGUGAAACUCACAGGCUCAACCUGUGCCGUGCCGUUGAAACUGUGUAUCUGGAAUGCGGAUGCUGUGGGAGGAAUGUGUAGUGUAGCGGUGAAAUGCAUAGAUAUUACACAGAACACCGAUUGCGAAGGCAUCUCACAAAGCCGUUAUUGACGCUGGGGCACGAAAGUGUGGGGAUCAAACA
This 251-nucleotide ribosomal RNA is filed under the name uncultured prokaryote. RNAcentral's name for it is "partial 16S ribosomal RNA". It matches the Rfam family "Bacterial small subunit ribosomal RNA", at positions 524 to 774 of the family's 1533-position model. The record is from RNAcentral.